This 74-nucleotide transfer RNA is filed under the name Streptomyces ambofaciens ATCC 23877. RNAcentral's name for it is "tRNA-Leu". It matches the Rfam family "tRNA". From Rfam's summary of the family: Transfer RNA (tRNA) molecules are approximately 80 nucleotides in length. Their secondary structure includes four short double-helical elements and three loops (D, anti-codon, and T loops). RNAcentral also lists the same sequence under 1 other name. The record is from RNAcentral. Lineage: Bacteria; Bacillati; Actinomycetota; Actinomycetes; Kitasatosporales; Streptomycetaceae.
GCCCGCGUAGGCAAACUGGCAAAGCCGCCCGGUUCAGGCCCGGGAGUCUGGGAGUUCGACUCUCCCCGUGGGUA